AGAGUUUGAUCCUGGCUCAGAAGGAACGCUGGCAGCGUGCAUAACACAUGCAAGUCGAACGCGAAAGAAUCCUUCGGGAUUUGGACGAGUGGCGAACGGGUGAGGAACACGUAAGAAUCUACCUUUCGGUUGGGGAUAACUUCUGGAAACGGGAGCUAAUACCCAAUAUGCUGUGGAGUGAAAGAAUUUCGCCGAGAGACGAUCUUGCGUCUGAUUAGCUUGUUGGGGUGGUAAUGGCACACCAAGGCGACGAUCAGUAGCUGGUCUGAGAGGAUGGACAGCCACAUUGGGACUGAGACACGGCCCAGACUCCUACGGGAGGCAGCAGUGGGGAAUUUUCCGCAAUGGACGAAAGUCUGACGGAGCGACGCUGCGUGAAGGAUGAAGGCCCGUGGGUUGUAAACUUCUUUUCUCGAAGAAGAAAAAAAUGACGGUAUUCGAGGAAUAAGCAUCGGCUAACUCUGUGCCAGCAGCCGCGGUAAGACAGAGGAUGCAAGUGUUAUUCGGAAUGAUUGGGCGUAAAGAGUCUGUAGGCGGUUUAGAAAGUCUUUUGUGAAAUACUUCAGCUCAACUGAGGCUCCGCAAAAGAAACUUCUAGACUUGAGGAAAGUAGAGGUACAGGGAAUUUCCGGUGGAGCGGUGAAAUGCGUAGAUAUCGGAAGGAACACCAAUAUGGCGAAGGCACUGUACUGGGCUUUU
Molecule: ribosomal RNA, 699 nt
Filed under: uncultured Desulfobacterales bacterium
Lineage: Bacteria; Pseudomonadati; Thermodesulfobacteriota; Desulfobacteria; Desulfobacterales
Description: bacterial SSU rRNA
Rfam family: Bacterial small subunit ribosomal RNA
Source: RNAcentral